UUAGAUACCCUGGUAGUCCACGCUGUAAACGAUGAUUACUAGGUGUGGGGGGACUGACCCCUUCCGUGCCGGAGUUAACACAAUAAGUAAUCCACCUGGGGAGUACGGCCGCAAGGCUGAAACUCAAAGGAAUUGACGGGGGCCCGCACAAGCAGUGGAGUAUGUGGUUUAAUUCGACGCAACGCGAAGAACCUUACCAGGCCUUGACAUCGUCUGACAAUCCUGGAGACAGGACUUCCCUUCGGGGCAGACAGACAGGUGGUGCAUGGUUGUCGUCAGCUCGUGUCGUGAGAUGUUGGGUUAAGUCCCGCAACGAGCGCAACCCUUACAGUCAGUUGCUACGCAAGAGCACUCUGGCAGGACUGCCGUUGACAAAACGGAGGAAGGUGGGGAUGACGUCAAAUCAUCAUGCCCCUUAUGGCCUGNGCUACACACGUACUACAAUGGCACUUAACAACGAGAAGCAAAGCCGCGAGGCGGAGCGAAACUCCAAAAAGGGUCUCAGUUCAGAUUGCAGGCUGAAACUCGCCUGUAUGAAGUCGGAAUUGCUAGUAAUCGCGGAUCAGCAUGCCGCGGUGAAUACGUUCCCGGGCCUUGUACACACCGNCCGUCCACCAUGAGAAGUUGGCACACCCCGAGUCAGUAGUCUAACCGCAAGGGGACGCUGCCGAAGUGGGGUUGAUGAUUGGGGUGAAAUCGUACANGGUAGCCCAAAUUCACACACUGGCCGGCGUUCUAUGGGAUCCAACUCGGACCAACCUUGCCUGAUAUGGCAUAAA
Molecule: ribosomal RNA, 779 nt
Filed under: uncultured bacterium
Lineage: Bacteria
Description: bacterial SSU rRNA
Rfam family: Bacterial small subunit ribosomal RNA
Source: RNAcentral